Molecule: ribosomal RNA, 1561 nt
Filed under: metagenome
Description: bacterial LSU rRNA
Rfam family: Bacterial large subunit ribosomal RNA
Source: RNAcentral
UUGUGAUGCUAAGUGCCCAAAACCUGGUGGAGCUCCUUCGGGAGACGAUCCAGGCGGAGCGCACGACCCGAACUAGUACUAGUCAAGCGAUGGGGUGACGCAGGAAGGUAGUCCAACCACGGCGAUGGUUGACCGUGGCUAACCGCGUAGGGUUGAGGAUAGGCAAAUCCGUCCUCUAUAUGCCUGAGACGGGACAGCGAGUCCGUAUGGACGAAGUGGGUAAUCCUAUGCUGCCGAGAAAAACCUCUAGCGAGCUAUGCGCCGCCCGUACCCCAAACCGACUCAGGUGAUCAAGUAGAGAAUACUAAGGCGAUCGAGAGAACCAUGGUUAAGGAACUCGGCAAAAUGCCCCCGUAACUUCGGGAGAAGGGGGGCCUGAUUUGUUAUUGCACUUGCUGCAAAAAGCAAUGAUGGCCGCAGAGACCAGGCCCAAGCGACUGUUUACUAAAAACACAGGUCCGUGCGAAGUUGUAAGACGAUGUAUACGGACUGACUCCUGCCCGGUGCUGGAAGGUUAAGGGGACGGGUUAGCACGCAAGUGCGAAGCUCAGAGCUUAAGCCCCAGUAAACGGCGGUGGUAACUAUAACCAUCCUAAGGUAGCGAAAUUCCUUGUCGGGUAAGUUCCGACCUGCACGAAUGGAGUAACGACUUGGGCGCUGUCUCAACCGUGGACUCGGCGAAAUUGCAAUACGAGUAAAGAUGCUCGUUACGCGCGGCAGGGCGGAAAGACCCCGGGACCUUUACUACAAUUUGGUAUUGGUGUUUGGUUCGGCUUGUGUAGGAUAGGUGGGAGACUUUGAAGCAGGGACGCCAGUUCUUGUGGAGUCAACGUUGAAAUACCACUCUGGUCGUACUAGAUGUCUAACCUAGGUCCGUUAUCCGGAUCAGGGACAGUGCCUGAUGGGUAGUUUAACUGGGGCGGUUGCCUCCUAAAAUGUAACGGAGGCGCUCAAAGGUUCCCUCGGCCUGGUUGGCAAUCAGGUUUCGAGUGUAAGUGCACAAGGGAGCUUGACUGUGAGAGUGACAACUCGAGCAGGGACGAAAGUCGGAACUAGUGAUCCGGCGCUGGCAUGUGGAAGCGGCGUCGCUCAACGGAUAAAAGGUACCCCGGGGAUAACAGGCUGAUCUUCCCCAAGAGUCCAUAUCGACGGGAUGGUUUGGCACCUCGAUGUCGGCUCGUCGCAUCCUGGGGCCGGAGUAGGUCCCAAGGGUUGGGCUGUUCGCCCAUUAAAGCGGCACGCGAGCUGGGUUUAGAACGUCGUGAGACAGUUCGGUCCCUAUCCGCCGCGCGCGCAGGAAACUUGAGAAAAGCUGUCCCUAGUACGAGAGGACCGGGAUGGACGAACCUCUGGUGUGCCAGUUGUUCUGCCAAGAGCACGGCUGGUUAGCUACGUUCGGAAGUGAUAACCGCUGAAAGCAUCUAAGCGGGAAGUACGUUUCAAGAUGAGGUUUCCCACCGGGUUAACCGGGUAAGGCCCCCAGCAGAACACUGGGUUGAUAGGCCGGAGGUGUACAGCAGUAAUGUCCAGCCGACCGGUACUAAUAGGCCGAGGGCUUGUC